UUUUAAAUGCACUGCCUCACCACCAUUUACAUCAUCUAACAGCUACCUGACAGUCCCAUGGCCACUAUGAAAUACUUGGCUCUAGCUUUAUUCUUUUGUGUGCUGCCUUCAUACGCAAAUGGAGCGUGCUACGUAAAACCCAUGAAACCAGGUAUGACCCAUUGUCAGGAUGACGUGGAUAAGACUUGGCACACUAGGAUCCAAAUGGAGGAACAGUGCAUGUAUGGACUGCACCUGCGAUGAAUGCUGCCAGGCGUAUUCCACCCCAGUCCAAUUCCCCGAUGACUGCGUGUCAGUGUUUGAUGCAGGAGCAUGUGAAUACAAAGUUCACAUGAGGGAUGACCCCUCCGCCCCAUGCCCCAUUUUCUCAGCUGUAGGAAAGUGAUGGAAUAAUUGUUCUGCCCUGCUAUGACCUUACUUGGUUUGCAUGUUCCCUUAUAUGUUUCUCAAUAGAAUCCAUUUUAAUAACCGAAUAAAUGAA
Lampris incognitus (smalleye Pacific opah) is the source of this 481-nucleotide long non-coding RNA. RefSeq lists it as uncharacterized. The record is from RefSeq and is a predicted model, not a curated record. NCBI's taxonomy places the organism in Eukaryota, Metazoa, Chordata, Actinopteri, Lampriformes, Lampridae. The transcript has 4 exons.